This is a long non-coding RNA of Theobroma umbraticum, 529 nucleotides long. RefSeq lists it as uncharacterized. The record is from RefSeq and is a predicted model, not a curated record. NCBI's taxonomy places the organism in Eukaryota, Viridiplantae, Streptophyta, Magnoliopsida, Malvales, Malvaceae.
UUGGCUUUGUCGAAUUACUGGAAUUUUGGAGAUCAAAGGAGCAAGGAAAGAAAGCUGAAACUCAUCGCAGAAGAAUAAGAAAACAAAAAAGGAAAGAUGAUUCACCGGAAGUGGAGUUUGCUAACAGGCCCAGUCGCCAUCCUCGGCGGAAUCGUGGGAGCCACCGUUGUCGCCCACUUACUCUUCGUUGACGAUCCAUAUCUUAAACCGAAGAAGAAGGAGAUGGAUACACUAGCAUUGACCAAGUAGAAAGAAGUUGACAGUUGCUCGUUGGUUCUGGUACUAGCUUUCUAUGACCUCACUUGAGCAGGCAAAUGCCUAGGUUGCUGUUUGAAACAUGAGUUCUUUGUUGAAUAAUAUCAAAUCUGAUGAUUGUGUAAUUUCAGCUUGCUUCUCUUUUGUGUCUCUUAAUAAGAAUUCAACUACAAUGUUCUUAGAACAUUGAAACUUGGAACUUGUAUAAAGUUACAUCUGCCAGACAACUUUGCAAAUCAACAUGAUAAAGCAGGUUUUAGUUACCAGUUCCAUA